RNAcentral lists this long non-coding RNA (1396 nucleotides) under Vigna radiata. Its description in RNAcentral is "long non-coding RNA (VRAD_LNC001886)". Lineage: Eukaryota; Viridiplantae; Streptophyta; Magnoliopsida; Fabales; Fabaceae. The record is from RNAcentral.
AUAUGUUUUAAGUUACCUCUGCACUCCUACAAUGGCCAAACGAAAACGUUUGUUUAAGAAUGUUUUUUUGCCAACGAUUUGACAACGCCACGUGGCGUGUGUCUGUUGGUUGGUUUUUAAGAAGGAAAAUUAACUCUGAUAUUAAAACUCGAGGGUAUUUUUGGAAAGCUGAAGAUAUGAAAUUUGGUUUUCGCGCUUUCAGUUUUCACCCUUGGUUUGCUUUCGCGUCUUCCUAUCUCCCAAACACUUUAUGCCCUUGCUCGUCUCGCUUGGUUACCUCUCUCCCAAACACUAUGCCCUUUCUCUUCAUUGACAAUGGUGUCGCUUCUUUUGGUAAGUAAUAAACCCUCGUCUCGGUUGUUCUGUUAAUUGGUUACCUCUAUUUCUCGUUGUGCCCUUUCUCUUCAUUGACGUCGUUUUCGCUUAUUUUGGUAAGUUCAAGCUUGCGAACCCUACCAUAGUUUUGGAGCAUUUUUUGUUUUUGUGUUCUGUGAACCCUAACCGUCUUUUCCACCAUCAUUUUUGGUAGUGUAUUUUAUCAUAUAAGUGCAAGUGUUGGUAGUGUAUUUUAUAUCCUCAGAUUGUGAUGCGGUCCACUCCGGCGAGGAACCGUCGAUCUGGCACAGAUCGAGCUGAUGACUGGACAAAAGAUGUAGCGAAAGAUGAAAAACAGAGGCAAACCCUAGGUUUGUGGUCUGAUCGGUGAAAAGGCUAGGGUUGGGAGUUUUAAUCGGUGUAAUGAGAGGAUUCACCGAUGGAAUCGGUGACAGGAAAGAGUCUGAGGCUUUAAUCGGUAGAAAUGGUUAAAAACCAGUUUCAAUCGGUGAGAAUGGAGGUAAAAGCCAAAAAUGAUCGGUAAAAGGGAAGGAUAGGUUAUGAGAAGACGAAUCUGAGAAAUGGUUUGGUGGACGAAGACUUACAAUGGCUAGAUUUGAGCGGAGAAAGUGGUUGGUGGCUGGAGACGGUCUCUAGAGCGAGACGCUAAUGAAAGCAAAUGAAGAAAUGGCGUUGUGUGGAGUUGAUGGAACGCUUAAGAGGUUAUGUGGCUGGUGUGGCAAUGAGAAGCCACGAGUCAGCAAGUGAUUGGACGAGUGGCGUACGGUGGUAUUAGGUGGAAAGAGAGAAAUCUGAUGUGGAAAAUGAAGUAGAAUGGCAAGUGAUUGGAAGGUGGCUGAGGAAUCCCUUGGAUUCUUCAGCCUUGACUUUCAAGGAAUUAAGUCUGGAGUAUACUCAACAGAAAAUUAAUUCAUUAUCUCAAAAGUGAUUACAAGAUGUGUUAGCAUGCCUAUAUAUAGGUCUAAAAGUACCACAUGCUUAACACAUUGUACACAUGUCUAAUACAAGUAUCUAAUACAAGUAAAAGAAAUAUUAAACUAAGAAAAUUGGGCUUGGGCCC